CCGGCUGAUGAGACCAAGGCGAAUGUGAUUCAUGCUGUCUGCCCCUUGGCUCCUGGGCUAGGGGGCUACAGAUGGGGUCUGGAAUCUUGGUGGGGACUCUGAGGCCUGCUCCCCAAGGUAAGGCUGGACCCAUAGGACUGCUGGCCUUGCCUUGCCUUCAAGGCUGCUGCUGCCUUGGCUCUAGUAGCAGCCUGCAGGGAGGCCCACAGGCAGGGCUGUGGGAGGGAUGGGCAGAAGCCACAUGAGCACAGCUUGGUUCUGACG
This 264-nucleotide small nucleolar RNA is filed under the name Chinchilla lanigera (long-tailed chinchilla). Lineage: Eukaryota; Metazoa; Chordata; Mammalia; Rodentia; Chinchillidae. The record is from RNAcentral.